Molecule: ribosomal RNA, 423 nt
Filed under: uncultured Lachnospiraceae bacterium
Lineage: Bacteria; Bacillati; Bacillota; Clostridia; Lachnospirales; Lachnospiraceae
Description: bacterial SSU rRNA
Rfam family: Bacterial small subunit ribosomal RNA
Source: RNAcentral
UGGGGAAUAUUGCACAAUGGGCGAAAGCCUGAUGCAGCGACGCCGCGUGAACGAAGAAGUAUUUCGGUAUGUAAAGUUCUAUCAGCAGGGAAGAAAAAUGACGGUACCUGACUAAGAAGCACCGGCUAAAUACGUGCCAGCAGCCGCGGUAAUACGUAUGGUGCAAGCGUUAUCCGGAUUUACUGGGUGUAAAGGGAGCGCAGGCGGCAGGGCAAGUCAGAUGUGAAAACCCGGGGCUCAACUCCGGGACUGCAUUUGAAACUGUCCGGCUGGAGUGCAGGAGAGGCAGGCGGAAUUCCUAGUGUAGCGGUGAAAUGCGUAGAUAUUAGGAGGAACACCAGUGGCGAAGGCGGCCUGCUGGACUGUAACUGACGCUGAGGCUCGAAAGCGUGGGGAGCAAACAGGAUUAGAUACCCUGGUAGU